AUUUCAGUUUUUCAUCUUAUGAGUUACAGUGAAGUAGAACUGGUGCAACUGAAUUAGCACCUGAGAAUUUGUUGAAUUGAGCAGAGUUUCUUGAACCACAUCUCUGAAAUCUAUAGUGCUCUAUCUGUAAUAGUAAACAAUACCUUUUCAUGCUGCUAAGAAAUGCUCACCAUGGACUUUUAUCAUCUCAAACUGAACAAGUGACUUUGUGUUAGGUCAUGGUUGUUUUGUGAGCAUUAUAAACUGGUUUGGACAGGAUCUGUAUCUGAUCAAGAAAAAUCUCCUGUGAAGGCAGGUCUUGGAUGGGAUCCAAUGAACAAUCAAAGUUAUGUAUUUGUAGCAGUCAAAUUAGCAGAUGAUCGAUGCUUUAGCUUCAUAACUUUAGCUCAAGGGAAAUGGCUUCAGAAACCUCCCAAACAAAAUUAGUUUGAUAGGAAAACAAAGUAAUUCUUUGGCGUUAUACUGGCUUUAGGUCGCCCUCUUUGCUGCAGAUGAUCAUGCAACUUCCAUGUCCCAAUUGUUGGAAACUAACCACGCAAGUAUUUGAACAUCGCAAAGUGAGUGUUUAUUGAUUGUUUCACUUUUUAUUCGGAUUAAUUUGUUUUUUCGUCA
Molecule: long non-coding RNA, 612 nt
Organism: Populus euphratica (Euphrates poplar)
Lineage: Eukaryota; Viridiplantae; Streptophyta; Magnoliopsida; Malpighiales; Salicaceae
Exons: 2
Source: RefSeq, a predicted model, not a curated record